GACGAACGCUGGCGGCGUGCUUAACACAUGCAAGUCGAACGGAAAGGCCCUGCUUUUGUGGGGUGCUCGAGUGGCGAACGGGUGAGUAACACGUGAGUAACCUGCCCUUGACUUUGGGAUAACUUCAGGAAACUGGGGCUAAUACCGGAUAGGAGCUCCUGCUGCAUGGUGGGGGUUGGAAAGUUUCGGCGGUUGGGGAUGGACUCGCGGCUUAUCAGCUUGUUGGUGGGGUAGUGGCUUACCAAGGCUUUGACGGGUAGCCGGCCUGAGAGGGUGACCGGGCACAUUGGGACUGAGAUACGGCGCAGACUCCUACGGGAGGCAGCAGUGGGGAAUAUUGCACAAUGGGCGGAAGCCUGAUGCAGCAACGCCGCGUGCGUGAUGACGGCCUUCGGGUUGUAAACCGCUUUCGCCUGUGACGAAGCGUGAGUGACGGUAAUGGGUAAAGAAGCACCGGCUAACUACGUG
RNAcentral lists this ribosomal RNA (468 nucleotides) under uncultured bacterium. RNAcentral describes it as "partial 16S ribosomal RNA". It matches the Rfam family "Bacterial small subunit ribosomal RNA", at positions 28 to 507 of the family's 1533-position model. The record is from RNAcentral.